GGCUGGAGUGCAUUUUCUGCUAUGCUGAGGGCAUUUCAGGAACUGGCCAGAUCUCAUCCAUCAGCAGGCUCAGAAGUAUAAAAAUAUGGAAAGAACACAGAAGCCACCUUCAGAAGGAGACUCCAGCACCCUGAAACAUGGUGACAUAUUUGGCUUAUCCAGCCAGGACAGCAGGUCCGGUAUCUUCCUGUAUAGGAGGAGAAAACUUUGUCCACCUUAAAACUCCCGCCCUUCUGCCUACAUCAGCCAGUGGCAGCCAAGUAGGCACUAGCUGACUCGAAGCCCUCUGGAUCCUAAAGCCUGCCUAGAGCUACCACUUUUUGGCCUCCUUUCUUUGUUUCUUCUAACGAAAUGCAGGACCCAGAGGAGGGACAAAAGAGAAAAGCUAAGAUUAUAGCUGCUGCAACUGGCAAUGCUGUAAGCUCAUGCAAACUGUCGAAGUGAAAACCCAGGACAACUGAGGAAAGGGUUCCUGUUUCAAGUAUAAGAAGACUGGACACUGGGCAUGAGAUUACACCAAACCUCUGCCUGGGUCCAGCUCCACAUAUGAGGCAGCUCAUGCACCUGACUCAUGGCAUUGGAGGCUUGACUGUCCCCACUCCCAGAGGGGGCCAGGCCAGCCAAAAUCCUCACUUCUUGUUGUGAUGACUGACGAGGCCCUAGGGAGCCUGCAAUGCCCCUGUCCAUGGACAUUGCCAUCUCCUCCGAGGAACCCUGGGUAAUCUUAGAUGUCAUGGGCAAGCCAACUGCUUAUCAGUACAGGGGAAGCUCAUUGAAUUUUGAUUUCCUUUUCUGGAAAGCCCUCCUCUAAGCCUAUAGGUAUAGCUUUGGUCAAGAGGACCCCUAACUAGAGAUUCUUUACUCUUCCUUUGAUGGGUCACUCUGAAGGCCAGAUGUUUAACCUUGAGUUUCUAAUGUUCCAUAGUGUCCUACUCCCUUGCUAGGAAGAGAUUUACUAGCAAAAUUGGGGGCAAUUUUCAAAUUCUGGCUAUGGCUAAGGUGGAUUUUACCUGCUGGGACUACCCCAGGUCUCCCUGAUCAAAUUAGCUAACAGGUGGAUCCUGCUGCAUGAUACCAUGGAAUACCUGGACAGACACAUUUACCUAUGCCAGAAGUUAUAAAACUAAAAGACCCCAGCUGGUUUCCUAACCAAAAGCAGUAUCCAAUCAAAGAAGAGCCAGGUAAAGGCCUCCAGUCUUUCAUAGACAGGUUUCUCAAACAUGAUGUUCUGAAGCCUUGGAAAUCCUCUUGCAAUAUUCCUAUUCUCUUGUAGUAAAGCCCUCAGGAGAAUAUAGGAUAGUACAAGACCUCUGCCUCAUUAACAAGGCUGUUGUUCUGAUCCAUCAUCUAGUGGCAGAUUCACAUACAAUUCUCUCCCAAAUUCUAGGGAACACUAAUUGGUUCUCAGUCUUGGAUUUAACAGAUGAAUUCUUCUCCAUCCCCCUAUAUCCAAACUCUCAGUUUUUGUUUGUCUUUGAAUGGGAAAACCCCAUUUCAAAAGAAAAGCACCAACAUAGUAGGACAGUUCUCCCACAGGGUUUAGAAACAGCCCUCGCCUUUUCACUCAGGCACUAGAGAAAGACUUGAGGAACCUAAAGCUUAAUCAGGGAAUUAUCCUACAAUAUGUGGAUGAUAUUUUAGUUUGUAGCCCAACUUGUGAGUUAUCCAACUAUAACACUAUACAGACUGUCAGCUUUCUAGCUAAGAAGGGUUAUAAAUUCUUCCCCCCACCAAAAGAAAAAGGUUCAGAUAGCCCUUCAAAAAGUUCAGUAUUUGAGAUAUGUUCUUAUACUGAGAGAAUCACAGCUGUCUAGGGACCAGAUCCAGGCUCUCUAAUCUUGGACCUCCUGCCACCAAACAAUAGCUUUGUUCCUUCCUGGGAAUGGUAGGCUUGUGUAGGGUCUGGCUACCUAAUUUUGAACUAAUGGCAAAGCCUUUAUAUCGGGCUAUAAAGACCCUGAGUCUGUGCCCCUAGAAUGGACAAAAAUGACUGACAAUGCCUUUAGGAAAAUAAAACAUGCCCUUACUUAGGCUCCAGCACUGGGAAUCCCUGACUUAAGAAAACCUUCUUGGGCCAGGGGUAUACUCAGUAACACAGUGCCUGCCUGACAAGCACAAGGUCCUGACUUUGAUUCCUUGUACAAAAAAGAAAGAAAGAAAGAAAACCCUUCUUCCUCUCUGUAACGGAAAAAAGAGAAAUUGCUUUGGGGGGCCUUAAUCCAAAGACUAGGACAAGAACCCCACCUGUGGCAUACUUUAAGAAAAAAAAGUUAGAUGGAGUAGCUGCUGCAAGGCCACCCUGCCUGAGAGCAGUAGCAGCUAGAGCUGUGCUAACAGAAGAAGCUGCAAGGGGCUGGGGAUUUAGCUCAGCGGCAAAAGCGCCUGCCUGGUAAGC
Chinchilla lanigera (long-tailed chinchilla) is the source of this 2395-nucleotide long non-coding RNA. RefSeq lists it as uncharacterized. The transcript has 4 exons. Lineage: Eukaryota; Metazoa; Chordata; Mammalia; Rodentia; Chinchillidae. The record is from RefSeq and is a predicted model, not a curated record.